This 101-nucleotide long non-coding RNA is filed under the name Salvator merianae (Argentine black and white tegu). Its description in RNAcentral is "ZEB2 antisense RNA 1 conserved region 3 (ENSSMRG00000023475.1)". It matches the Rfam family "ZEB2 antisense RNA 1 conserved region 3". The record is from RNAcentral. Lineage: Eukaryota; Metazoa; Chordata; Lepidosauria; Squamata; Teiidae.
CCCUCCCUCCCUCCCCCCCCCCCCCCCCAGUCAUCAAGCCUUUGGCAUCAUUAUCCUCUUCACUAAAUCCUACUGGAUGCUGGGCGGAAAACGGUGAGCGC